CGCGUAGGCGGUUUACACAGUCAGAUGUGAAAUUCCAGGGCUUAACCUUGGGGCUGCAUUUGAUACGUGUAGACUAGAGUGUGAGAGAGGGUUGUGGAAUUCCCAGUGUAGAGGUGAAAUUCGUAGAUAUUGGGAAGAACACCGGUGGCGAAGGCGGCUUUCUGGUCUGUAACUGACGCUGAGGCGCGAAAGCGUGGGGAGCAAACAGGAUUAGAUACCCCUGUA
RNAcentral lists this ribosomal RNA (225 nucleotides) under uncultured Asaia sp. Its description in RNAcentral is "partial 16S ribosomal RNA". It matches the Rfam family "Bacterial small subunit ribosomal RNA", at positions 568 to 792 of the family's 1533-position model. Lineage: Bacteria; Pseudomonadati; Pseudomonadota; Alphaproteobacteria; Acetobacterales; Acetobacteraceae. The record is from RNAcentral.